RNAcentral lists this ribosomal RNA (253 nucleotides) under uncultured bacterium. Its description in RNAcentral is "partial 16S ribosomal RNA". It matches the Rfam family "Bacterial small subunit ribosomal RNA", at positions 524 to 776 of the family's 1533-position model. The record is from RNAcentral.
UACAGAGGGUGCAAGCGUUAAUCGGAGUUACUGGGCGUAAAGGGCGCGUAGGCGGUUAUUUAAGUUUGAUGUGAAAUCCCUGGGCUUAACCUAGGAACUGCAUUGAAAACUGGAUAACUGGAGUACUGUAGAGGGUAGUGGAAUUUCCGGUGUAGCGGUGAAAUGCGUAGAGAUCGGAAGGAACACCAGUGGCGAAGGCGGCUACCUGGACAGAUACUGACGCUGAGGCGCGAGAGCGUGGGGAGCAAACAGG